GACGAACCGUGCGAACGUUGUUCGGAAUCACUGGGCUUAAAGGGCGCGUAGGCGGCUUCGCAAGUCCGGGGUGAAAGCCCCCAGCUCAACUGGGGAAGUGCCUUGGAUACUGCGGGGCUCGAGGGAGGUAGGGGUGCGUGGAACUUCCGGUGGAGCGGUGAAAUGCGUUGAUAUCGGAAGGAACGCCGGUGGCGAAAGCGACGCACUGGACCUCUUCUGACGCCGAUGCGCGAAAGCCAGGGGAGCAAACGGG
RNAcentral lists this ribosomal RNA (253 nucleotides) under uncultured bacterium. RNAcentral's name for it is "partial 16S ribosomal RNA". It matches the Rfam family "Bacterial small subunit ribosomal RNA", at positions 524 to 776 of the family's 1533-position model. The record is from RNAcentral.